UCUGGGGAGACAACAGAACGUUAAGAGCAGCCCUGAGGCGGACACGGGCUGAUCCCAACAGCAGUAAGAUCCUACAAUACAAGCCCUGCUUCAUUGGUCCUGGGGGUAGCAGCCUCCACUGCCUCCCGGAUGAUUUUAGCAGGCAAGCAGUGCUUGCGUAUGACAAGCAGUCGAGUUCAACGUGAGGCAAGACUAAAACUGAUGCACCCUGGGAACAAGCUAAAUUGUUCUCCGGGGCAGGCACACUGCAAUCUCAGGGAAGACAGCUUCGUGGAAGGGGAAGGCUAUCUGAGCUGUGUAAAGAGGGAAAGUCAAUUUCCCUCUCUGAUCCUUCCUCAUCUGUAACCCGGGGACCUUCAGAUCUAACUCUGGCUCCCACACUACCUGUUAGGUGCCCUGGAAGGCCACUGCAAAUUCGCAAAGAGUGCCUGGGGGAGGUUGUACAUUUUCAAAUGCAAUCCCAGGAUAUCCAUGAGACACCAGGUAAACUUGAAGCUUGAAGCAGUUCAGGCUUCCAACAUCAGAUUACCACAUCUCUUGUGAUGACGUGACCACUUUGCAAAGCUGUUUUUCAAAGUACCCUGAUAAAAAGCAAACACCAAGGAACUUCAUGUGAAACAGAAACUAGGUUAGUGGUCUCCAAUCUGAUCCCAAGAUUUGAGAGGCGGUGCCGUGCCCCAUAGGUGCUACAUUGUUAAGGCAUAAAUACUUAUUAAAGUGUUUUGAUCUAUUUAAAAAGAGAGCCUUGGGUAUUAUUUCUUUUGGCCAGGGGCUCUGUGAAAAAUUUCCUGAGAUACUAACGUGCUGUGAACCAAGGCAGUUUCGGAACCUCUAACCUAACUCAGUAGGCUUCAAUGAAGACCGAAUAAGAUGAUGUCUGGGAGAGUACUUUGAAAAGUUGAAGGCAGAAGUUGGCAAACUUUCUGUAAAGGGCCAGGCAACUACUCACUUCUGCUGAUGUAGCACACAUUGAAGGCGUCAAAUGGAUGGGCAUGUUUUCUAAAAUAACUUAUUUACAAAAACACUUGGUGGACUGGAUUUGGCCACCUAGGCCAUAAUUUGCUAACUUCUGGUCUAAAGUGUGUCCUAGAGUGCAUGAAAGAAGCUGGAGAAAAAUCACCAUGGAGUUUAUCCUGGUUUUGCCUCUCAUGGAAAGAAGAGAGACAACUGAAGCCUCAAUCCAGGUAAAGAAGCAUUCUUGCAAGCCCAUCCAUGUAAAGUGUAUGAAAAGUGGGCCUUUUCCCUGAAAUUAUCCAGAUCCUGAUUUCAUUUACAUUUUGUUUUAUGAUUUUGGGGAAAUUCCAUCAGUAACCUAACAGGUUUAUUUCCUAUCUUUAGGAAAUAAAUAUACAGAUAGUAAAUUGUGCAGUUCGUAUCUGCAGAGCUUUCAUUCUUGGUCAUCUUUUUAUAACAUCUUAUCAAAGAUAACUGCAACAAACAGGUCUGGGGACAAGAACAGGGAAGCACAAGACCAGUUUCAUUGCAGCUAUAAAAAUAACCCUUUGUUUCCCAUUGUACUUUACAAGCAGGCGGCACUCUGCGUGUCCUGGAAAGGUUGGGUCUGCUGACCUUGGAGGGUUUUUUAUGAUCAGUAAGGAGCAGGGACAUAUGGCCCCAGGUGAAACCUUGGGUGAGUUGGGCCGUCCAUACAAGGCUCAUGAGACAAGUCAUCUCACUUGGGCCUUUCAGGGUCCGGUGAAAUGAGUAUAAUCCCCUCACUUUACAGACCAACAAACUGAGGUUCAAAGAGGCUAAUAAACUGGCCCAACGAUGUACAAUGAGUAAGUAAGUGGUUAUGUCACUUCACAUGUUUAGCCUUUCCCAGUCUCAUCUGUCAAAGGGUCUGUAAGAUUCUCUUCAAAACUCGCACAACCCCACCCCUCUGGGAAGGCACCAGAAAGCCUGAGCCAGCUCUCCUGGGAGGCUGCAGGGCAGUGAGUGUGCCUGCAUCCAGUGGCAGCAGUGCACACAGGGAGCGAGCAGCACCAGGCACUUCUCCCUCCAUGGCAGGGUCUACACGUCCCCCAGUGCACAUCUCAAGCUCAUACGAUACACUCUGCCAAGUCCAUUUUGAAUUCCAUGGCCUGAAUCAUUAACUUUCAAAGCCAAAGCAUUUAAAAGAUAAAAUUAUCCUCUUGGCACUCCUCAAACUGUGCUCUUGACCUCUUCUGUUAGGCUACAGUUUUGUUUCUGGCUGUGCAAAUGUCACAUAAUGCCACUGCACCCGGCAGUAUCUUCUUCAUAGCAACAGAUCAUAAUAAAAGUCCCUCGGAGGCUGUUUGUGUUUCACAUACACAUGGAAUGAAAGAAAAAUGCAGAGUGCUAUAUAAAGCAAGAGAAAUGCAUAAGCUUCAUCUUUCAUUUGCAGCCAAUUGGUUUUAAUAAGCUUUUAUGCUGAGAGGUGAAUAAUUAGCAUACGUUCUUAAUUAAGAUUGUUCUAGAGCAGUAGAGUGCUCCAGGUCGUUAAAAAUGGUUUUGUGUCUCAAUGUCUUAAUUCUCUUAUCUUCUCAUCAGUCAAAAUACUUACAAGAAAUGAGAAUGUUUAGAUUUUUGUAUUUGCAUAAAUAAAUACUAGAAGGAAAAAUAAGGAAUUCAUUAAAACGGUUAUCAGUAUUGACGGUAGAUGCAGGGUAAAGGGGAAGGAAUGGGAGCAGGAUUUCCUUAUGUAUAAUUUUAAUUUUAUUUUGACUUUAGAAACAGGUAAAUGUAUUACCUGCUUCAAACUGAUGGAUGGACAGACAGAAAGAGCAGCAAACCAACAAGCCUCCAGCUCUCAGGCCUCUCACCUCUGGCCUUGCAUUUUCUUAAGUGUGGGUCAGCGUUAUAAGGAAAUCAGACAAAAAUACAGGAGAUGGAGUUUUGCUCUGUCACCCAGGCUGGAGGGCAAUGACACCACCAUAGCUCACUGGAGCCUGGAGCUCCUGGGCUCACAUGAUCCUCCCACCUCAGCCUCCCAGGUAGCUGGGACUACAGCCACACACCACUGUGGUGGGCUCACAGGUGGUGUCAGGACUGAAGUGAACUCACUGUAGGACGCCCAGCUGGUUUCCAAGAAUUGGUCGAUGUGAGAGAAACGCCCCGCUUUGGUGUCAGAAGUGUUGUAUCCAAGGACCAGCCUCCGUAAGACCAGGACCCAAACUUCAGUUUGCAGUGCUGCACAUCAAAGGGAAACCAGCGUACAUCGAUGUAGCAGGAACUCUUGAAUAUGCCUGUGUGGGUGAUGGAAACAGAAGACUGAAACGGAAGCUGACUGAGAUGUGCUGAAAAUACACAGCAGUUCCUUCAGCCGGUUCCGCCCUCCGCACUGCAGCUAACACAGUCCAGAGCAAACGGAAUCUGUCUUUUUAUUUAUUCGCAAAAUCUGUAAAACAGAAUCUCAGCUAAGCUUCACUGUCUUUUAAAAUCCAAACGUAACACUGACAUGCUCUCUCAAAGACUGUUUUGUGGGCUUUUUGUGCAAAAAGUUAGCUCUAUAAUCUGCAUUUACCAUGAGCAUCUUCAGACUCUAAAUAAUAAAAGUAAAGAAUGCAAAAUAUCUCAGAGAAGUUGAUAACCCUGAUGAUGAAGUUAGAAAUAGAAUCUAAAAGGUGUGUGUGUGUGUGUGUGUGUGUCUGUUUGGUGCGGGGUGAGGUAGGCAUUUUCUUUAGGUUAAAAAUGGGAAGAACACAUGAUUAUCGAGAAAUACAAUCUAGAAUUCUGGUUAAAGCUAGAAUUUUAACUAAUUUAAAUUCUAGAUGAAGAACAGAACAAGCUGGGCACAGUGUCUCAUGCCCGUAAUCCCAGUGACUCUAAGACAUUGACGUGGGAGGGUCACUUGAGACUAGGAGUUUGAGACCGGACUGGGCAACAUAGUGAGACAUCUCUAAUAAAAAAAAUUAGCUGGGUGAGGUGAUGCAUGCCUGUAGUCCCAGCUACUCAGAAGGCUAAGGCAGGAGCAUUGCUUGAGCCCAGGAGUUUGAGGCUAAAGUGAAGUGAGCUAUGAUCGAGCCCCUGCACUCCAGCCUGGGGAACACACCUAGAAUCUGUCUGUAAGAAAAAAAGUUAAAACAAACAAACAAACAAACAAAAACAAGAACAGAUAGAUAGGUUUAAGCUGAAGAGAUGGUGCUUGAAGGAAGAGUUUCCGCUGAAAAGAGCUAUUCCAGGCUAGGACAGGUUGGAAGUGGAUUUCCCAGAGGGCCAAGGGGAGGAAACCAGAUAGAGGCCACUCCAGUUAUUUACACUCAUGUGCUCUUCCCUGCCCAGAGGAAGGCUGCAUGGCACAAGAAGACAGGCACAGACUCGGUGUCCAGGUGUUCCUGGGGCAGGGCUGGCACUCUGCAAACUUCUGUUACUGAGUUACAGAAAGAGUGCACGCAGGAAGGGCCUCCACAGCCUUGCACACAAGGACCCCACCCCACAACCGAGUUGGGAAAAGAUACACAUUUUGUCCCCUGAAGUUCCUUUAAGUAUGCUUUGCGUCCUUACAUGAAAUGUUUAUAGGAAUCUGGAAUCAUCACAGACAAUCCCCCUCCAUUAAUAGUUGGAUCCCCCCAAAACCCACCUUGUCUGCCAGUUAGUUGGAAAGCUUUGUAACUUCAUGAGCCCAUUUCUACGAAAUAAUGGCCCGAGACAGAGAAUUUCUAGAGACAGAAAGCAGAUCAGUGGUUGCUGGGAGUAGGAAUGGGAAUUAACUGCAAACAAGCAAAAGGGAUCUUUGUGGGGUGAUGGGAAUGUUCUAAAACUAGACUGUGGUAAUGGUUGCAUAAGUCUGUAAAUAUACUAAAAGUUGUUGAAUCAUGUACUUAAAAUGCAUGAUAUGUAAAUUCUCUCUCAAUAAAGCUGUUAAAAAAUA
This is a long non-coding RNA of Homo sapiens (human), 4834 nucleotides long. RefSeq lists it as uncharacterized. The record is from RefSeq and is a predicted model, not a curated record. Lineage: Eukaryota; Metazoa; Chordata; Mammalia; Primates; Hominidae. The transcript has 4 exons.